Molecule: long non-coding RNA, 523 nt
Filed under: Lathyrus oleraceus (garden pea)
Lineage: Eukaryota; Viridiplantae; Streptophyta; Magnoliopsida; Fabales; Fabaceae
Description: Pisum sativum (pea) long non-coding RNA (PSAT_LNC031771)
Source: RNAcentral
UUUUUGAAUGUUCUACAACCGUUGAGUUAAGUGACCGGAUGAGGGUCACCAAACUUAGAAGGUGCAUUCCUUUAUUUUUUUUUCUUUUCGGAACACUCACUUAUAUUCAUCGGCUUCCCUACGUAGAGUGUGUGUGAGAUGGUGCUGACUGCUGAAAUAAACUACUCAAAAGCUGUCAGAGGAUGAGAAUAUAAGGCUAAAACAUAAUAAAAAUUCAACUCAAUUUCCAUAUGCAGGAGACUUACGGUGUUAAAACAAUAUCGAUCUUGUGAAUUUUUCCCAAGUCUCCACAAACCAACCUCAAAUUAUUCUAUAGCCUAAAACUUUCAACAAAAAUGUAAUAAUUUUUUUUUUUUAGAAAGAAAACAAAAACAAAACAAAACAAAGAACAAAAACAAAGAAAAUAAAGUAUUUCUUCCCCCACACUUAAAAUAUGCAUUGUCCUCAAUGAAAGAAACAAACAUAAAAUAAGAGAGAGAAGAGAGAGGAAAGAACACACCCGAGUAGUCAAGGAGGAUAGGUG